This 460-nucleotide ribosomal RNA is filed under the name uncultured bacterium. RNAcentral describes it as "partial 16S ribosomal RNA". It matches the Rfam family "Bacterial small subunit ribosomal RNA", at positions 338 to 795 of the family's 1533-position model. The record is from RNAcentral.
CCUACGGGAUGCAGCAGUGAGGAAUAUUGGUCAAUGGGCGCGACCCUGAACCAGCCAAGUCGCGUGCAGGAUGACGGCCCUACGGGUUGUAAACUUCUUUUAUGCAGGGAUAAAGUGAGGCACGUGUGCCUUAUUGUAUGUACUUUAUGAAUAAGGAUCGGCUAACUCCGUGCCAGCAGCCGCGGUAAUACGGAGGAUCCGAGCGUUCUCCGGAUUUAUUGGGUUUAAAGGGAGCUCAGGUGGGUUGUUAAGUGAGUUGUGAAAGCCUGCGGCUCAACCGUAAAAUUGCAACGGAUACUGGGCGGCUUGAGUACAGGUGAGGUAGGCGGAAUUCGUGGUGUAGCGGUGAAAUGCUUAGAUAUCACGAAGAACUCCGAUUGCGAAGGCAGCCUACCAUACUGCUACUGACACUGAGGCUCGAAAGUGCGGGUAUCAAACAGGAUUAGAUACCCGGGUAGUC